UCCUCCGUGUGAGAAGUGACAAAUUUUGUACCGUCGCGGUGAAAAACAAAAAACGGCACCUCCUCCUCUAAGUCUUCAUGCUCUAAUUAACCGGUGUUUAAAAAUAUCACUGCAGAGGCCACCGGAACAGCCAUUCCGUAACCGCCGCGGAACUGCGCGGGUUAAAGUACCGGCAGCAAAAAAGAAACAGGAGUUGCAGAAAAUGGCGGGAAGCAUAAGUGAUCCUGGAUGUUCUGGAAGUUGCUGCAGUUGCCUCACCGGAAGAAACCCCGGAAACAACCGGCGGCCGCCGCCCAAAAGAGGAAAAAACGCAACCCUGAGGCUGCGGUCACUGGGUGUAAAGGUCACUGCUACAAAGGCCAUACAACGAACAGCGCAUAACAAGGAGGUGGUAAAGGAGCAGCUGGAACCGGAAGUUACUGUGGAGGCGGCGCAGGCCAAACGUUGCCACGGACAGGCUAAGGCUGACGCGACGGAACUGAUAGAGAAGGUGGCCUCGUUACCCGCUAAAAAGUCAAAUCCUUCCAAUGACGUGGCGUAACCGGGGAGUUGAAUUUUUUUUUUCAACUAUUUCCUUAAAGAGCGAACUUUAUGUAGCAUUCAACAUUAAACUCUUUUACUAUCUUCCUCCUUUCAGGUGCAGCUUCUCCUUCCAAAUCCAGCAGCUCCUGCUAAACGAGGGCGCGAGAAGGCAACAGCCGAAUCGGAGGCUGCUGUAUUGCUGUCCCGGAGUGCGUCUUGUAGAUCAAGGUGACAGCCGGGAUAGUAGAGCAGGAUCGGCGUGACUUUAGUCGCGGUGGAGAUCGCCGAGAUGACCGGGGGCUGAAGUGGGCGCAGGAGGACUGUCAUAGUGCCGGUGCCGUUAAUCCGACGCAGUCACCUUUGGAAGUUGAGCAGAUGAUCAGCGGCGCAUGAUUUUGAGAAAUCUAUGUUUCUAAAACUCUUAAAUUCCUCAUAUUGCUUCAAUUCAGUUUUGUAUUUUUUCUUUCUUAUCUCUUGUAUUUUCUUCUAGCUUUGAAUUCUUGAUGAGUUUAUUCCUCUACUGUCUUGAUCUUUAUUUUUGUAAUGUUUCAUUUUACUUUAUUACUUUUUUAUAUUUUAUCAUAUUAUUUUUAAUUAUUUUAUUAUUUUGUUCUUUUUUUCUGCAUGGAGGAAAAGCUGGCGGCUUCGUCACAAGGCUAAGCUGGAGGGCCGACGGGGAGGUUGAGAAAUUGGAGCAGGAGUAGGAGACGCAGAAGGCCAACUCAAACGUGGACACGAUGAAGUUAAAGCUACAGACUGUCUAGGGGAAACAGACUGGCCGAUGCAAAAUAAAUAGGCACUGGCAACGUAUGUUUUGUGCUUGCAACACUGCCAGUUUUGCUGGGCGUAAAGAGCGUUUGGUGUCCAGCGCGUUUGGAUCUGUCAAACAUUGGCCAAACUGUUUCCUAGACAAACUGUAGUUAAAGCUGGCGGAGAAGAAAAUCAUAAGAGAUCAGAUUUCGGCGUUGGACGCGGUUACUGCGAAGGUGCCCAAGUUAGGACUGAAGCAUCAGUUAAACGGAAAGGAGACCGAGUUUCGACGCGUUCGAGCGAAACGAGGAGCAGACGGUCGAGUUCUUUAUCAAGCCGAUACCGCCAAUGAGGCCAUUAAGCUCGAUUCGGUGGUGACCGGUAUCUGUGUGCUGAUAACCGUGGAGAAGCGUAUCACGUGCUGUUGACGGGACCGACCGAGGUGCAGAAGAUCGUCUAGGUUGACCGGCACAUCGGUUGUGCCAAGUCAGAACCAAUGGCCAAUUUGACGACCAAGUUUGGCAAGCGGUGCCACUCUGAGGACGAAGAACUUGACGGCUUUGUACGAGAAGGUAGCGGAGUCGUUCAUCACUUUGGUUGUUGAAGCGGCGUCGUCGGCUUAGGCAGCAUUGAAGUUGUCGGAAUCAUGGGGCGUAGAUUCGUCUUCUCCGUCGUUAGACCAACUUGUACGCUAGAAACGCGCCCAAAUCUUACGGAAUGUUAUCCAAUCUGCGCGGGUUCGCGUUUGGUCAAUCGUCAAUUUGAGCCAUUCGCUCGAGGUCAACGAGCGUAUCCUGAUACGAAUGAAGAACGCUGCGGGGUUGAGUGCGGCCAGCGCGGAAUUAUUGCGAUGCUCUCGUCGGUUGGUCCCGAGGGUUGAUCCUGGACAUGAACCGCUCGCUGAGUGUCCUUCUGCUGGAGAACCAUGUCAGAAGCCAAAGAGGCGGCCGAAGCAAAAAACACAAGCCCGAGUAGGAGGAAGAAGCUGCAUGGCAGGCCAAGGCCAAAGCUAAACGUUAACAGCCCGUACAGGAAGCGAAAUUCGAACGCAAAAAGUGAAUAGGAAGGACCGGAAGGACUCGCCAGAAAGCCGUGCAGGAACGCAUGGAGACCGAGAAGCGAAAGUUUGCGGAGGAGCAGGCCAAGACUGCUGCAGCGGCCGCAACCAACGUCAAGCGUACCUACAGCGACCUCAAAAUGGACAAAUUGCCGCCGGGAACGGACUAACCUAACGGAGUAUGGCGAUGGCAAGGGAUCCGACGUGUCGACCGGGCCGAGGGAUAUACAUUUACCACACUGUUAACCUAAAGUACCGUAAUCUGGGGCGAAUCGGGACUACAGUCUGAAUAGGGACAGCCGUUUUUAGAGCACUUAAAGCUUUUAAAUUUGGAAAUGGAUGUACACAUUUUGUUGGUCUGAGUCUGUUCUAUCCGAAACCAACCAGAAAAAUCAAAAUAUUGUGCUCCAACAUGGUUAAAACUGCUGUCCCAAUUCGCCCCAUGUGUCCCGAUUGACCCCAGUUUACGGUAAUAAUAAUUAAAAUAAGGGGAAUCGGGGUUGGGAA
Long non-coding RNA from Culex pipiens pallens (northern house mosquito), 2836 nucleotides. RefSeq lists it as uncharacterized. Lineage: Eukaryota; Metazoa; Arthropoda; Insecta; Diptera; Culicidae. The record is from RefSeq and is a predicted model, not a curated record. The transcript has 3 exons.